This is a long non-coding RNA of Musca domestica (house fly), 634 nucleotides long. RefSeq lists it as uncharacterized. Lineage: Eukaryota; Metazoa; Arthropoda; Insecta; Diptera; Muscidae. The record is from RefSeq and is a predicted model, not a curated record. The transcript has 2 exons.
ACACUUGAGAAUGUUUUGUUUUGUCAAGAAGUUCCACAGAAUUUGCUCUCAAUAAGAAAGAUGCAAGAUGCUGGAUUUUCUAUUGAGUUUAACUCCGAAGGUGUCAUUGUACGAAACAAAAGCCAUGUAAUCAUUCAAGGCAAGCAACUGGCUGAUUUGUUGACCAAACCCUUGUCAACUCCACGAUUCAUGGAACUAAGAACACAAGUUGGAUUAAAGAAUUUAGAACACUAAAUAUAAGUUUUUUUUUUUUUGGUCUGAUUAGGUUUUUCUGGGUUUUCCCUAGUCCUUGCAACAAAUGUUGGGCCAUAAAUAUUUUUACCCAGAUAUAACAACUUGUCAAUUUUUUAUUAAAUACUAUUUAAAGGAUCGACAUAUUUUUGAGGCGGCGUGUUGAAAAACAUGUAAAUUUGAAUUUACUAUUCAAAAAUAUGUCGACCAGUGCAUUUACUUUGUUUCAAUUAAUUUGAAUUUAUCUAAAUAUUUUUGAUUCAUCACAUGUGCUUUGAGAUUUAGUUUUUCUGUAUUACAAUAUUGAGCUGAUUGUAAUUAUAUUUUUUCAUUCGUUUUUCAAAUCAUUGAAGUGACAAGUUCAAGAAAGAAAAGAAAUAAAAAACAAGAUAUUCCAUUUCAA